This is a non-coding RNA of Cinara cedri, 663 nucleotides long. Lineage: Eukaryota; Metazoa; Arthropoda; Insecta; Hemiptera; Aphididae. The record is from the annotation of a GenBank genome assembly.
AAUUAGUUAUGUAUCAUAAAUCAUGAAAGUAAGGGGAUCGCUAAAGUCUUGCCGCAACAGAGACAAGAACUGUAAAGUUGUCAAAAGACAUGGUAAGAUUUACAUCAUAAAUAAAGUAAAGCCAAGGUGUAAGGCGCGUCAAGGCUCUUAAUUUUUUGAUGCUUAUGUUUGUAAGAAAGAAAAGGUCGUUAUAUUUAAUUACAGUCUUACUUAUUUUUAUUCUUACGCUAUAUUUUAGCGUAAGUGCGGUUACGGGCAAACGUGGUCUGUUAACGUUAAUAAAUUUAAAAAAAGACAUAGAGUACAAUGAAUCUCUAUUAAAAGGUAUAUUUUAUGAGAAGAAUAAGUUGAAUAAUAAAAUACUUGGUUUAUAUGAAAAGAGCCUAGAUUUAGAUUUACUUGAUGAACAAGUAAAGAAUUUAGGUUAUGCUCAUCCAAAUGAGCUCAUGGUUAUUAUUGAUAGAGAGUAGACUUCUUUCAAAACUCGUUUAUGAUGAGAGGAGAAGUGCAAGCGAGUAUGGCAGGAUACUUGGAUAUAUUUUGAGGAGCGCAGUUCAGUCUGAGCAACAAAAUUGACAUCGGAAAGUGAGUUUUGAAAGAAGUCUAAUAACAGUUUACUUUAAAGCAAGAACUUUCUAUAUUGUAAUCAAAUUUAUCUUUAAA